Molecule: ribosomal RNA, 2904 nt
Filed under: Escherichia coli
Lineage: Bacteria; Pseudomonadati; Pseudomonadota; Gammaproteobacteria; Enterobacterales; Enterobacteriaceae
Description: bacterial LSU rRNA
Rfam family: Bacterial large subunit ribosomal RNA
Source: RNAcentral
UUAAGCGACUAAGCGUACACGGUGGAUGCCCUGGCAGUCAGAGGCGAUGAAGGACGUGCUAAUCUGCGAUAAGCGUCGGUAAGGUGAUAUGAACCGUUAUAACCGGCGAUUUCCGAAUGGGGAAACCCAGUGUGAUUCGUCACACUAUCAUUAACUGAAUCCAUAGGUUAAUGAGGCGAACCGGGGGAACUGAAACAUCUAAGUACCCCGAGGAAAAGAAAUCAACCGAGAUUCCCCCAGUAGCGGCGAGCGAACGGGGAGGAGCCCAGAGCCUGAAUCAGUGUGUGUGUUAGUGGAAGCGUCUGGAAAGGCGCGCGAUACAGGGUGACAGCCCCGUACACAAAAAUGCACAUAUUGUGAGCUCGAUGAGUAGGGCGGGACACGUGGUAUCCUGUCUGAAUAUGGGGGGACCAUCCUCCAAGGCUAAAUACUCCUGACUGACCGAUAGUGAACCAGUACCGUGAGGGAAAGGCGAAAAGAACCCCGGCGAGGGGAGUGAAAAAGAACCUGAAACCGUGUACGUACAAGCAGUGGGAGCACGCUUAGGCGUGUGACUGCGUACCUUUUGUAUAAUGGGUCAGCGACUUAUAUUCUGUAGCAAGGUUAACCGAAUAGGGGAGCCGAAGGGAAACCGAGUCUUAACUGGGCGUUAAGUUGCAGGGUAUAGACCCGAAACCCGGUGAUCUAGCCAUGGGCAGGUUGAAGGUUGGGUAACACUAACUGGAGGACCGAACCGACUAAUGUUGAAAAAUUAGCGGAUGACUUGUGGCUGGGGGUGAAAGGCCAAUCAAACCGGGAGAUAGCUGGUUCUCCCCGAAAGCUAUUUAGGUAGCGCCUCGUGAAUUCAUCUCCGGGGGUAGAGCACUGUUUCGGCAAGGGGGUCAUCCCGACUUACCAACCCGAUGCAAACUGCGAAUACCGGAGAAUGUUAUCACGGGAGACACACGGCGGGUGCUAACGUCCGUCGUGAAGAGGGAAACAACCCAGACCGCCAGCUAAGGUCCCAAAGUCAUGGUUAAGUGGGAAACGAUGUGGGAAGGCCCAGACAGCCAGGAUGUUGGCUUAGAAGCAGCCAUCAUUUAAAGAAAGCGUAAUAGCUCACUGGUCGAGUCGGCCUGCGCGGAAGAUGUAACGGGGCUAAACCAUGCACCGAAGCUGCGGCAGCGACGCUGAUGCGUUGUUGGGUAGGGGAGCGUUCUGUAAGCCUGCGAAGGUGUGCUGUGAGGCAUGCUGGAGGUAUCAGAAGUGCGAAUGCUGACAUAAGUAACGAUAAAGCGGGUGAAAAGCCCGCUCGCCGGAAGACCAAGGGUUCCUGUCCAACGUUAAUCGGGGCAGGGUGAGUCGACCCCUAAGGCGAGGCCGAAAGGCGUAGUCGAUGGGAAACAGGUUAAUAUUCCUGUACUUGGUGUUACUGCGAAGGGGGGACGGAGAAGGCUAUGUUGGCCGGGCGACGGUUGUCCCGGUUUAAGCGUGUAGGCUGGUUUUCCAGGCAAAUCCGGAAAAUCAAGGCUGAGGCGUGAUGACGAGGCACUACGGUGCUGAAGCAACAAAUGCCCUGCUUCCAGGAAAAGCCUCUAAGCAUCAGGUAACAUCAAAUCGUACCCCAAACCGACACAGGUGGUCAGGUAGAGAAUACCAAGGCGCUUGAGAGAACUCGGGUGAAGGAACUAGGCAAAAUGGUGCCGUAACUUCGGGAGAAGGCACGCUGAUAUGUAGGUGAAGUCCCUCGCGGAUGGAGCUGAAAUCAGUCGAAGAUACCAGCUGGCUGCAACUGUUUAUUAAAAACACAGCACUGUGCAAACACGAAAGUGGACGUAUACGGUGUGACGCCUGCCCGGUGCCGGAAGGUUAAUUGAUGGGGUUAGCCGCAAGGCGAAGCUCUUGAUCGAAGCCCCGGUAAACGGCGGCCGUAACUAUAACGGUCCUAAGGUAGCGAAAUUCCUUGUCGGGUAAGUUCCGACCUGCACGAAUGGCGUAAUGAUGGCCAGGCUGUCUCCACCCGAGACUCAGUGAAAUUGAACUCGCUGUGAAGAUGCAGUGUACCCGCGGCAAGACGGAAAGACCCCGUGAACCUUUACUAUAGCUUGACACUGAACAUUGAGCCUUGAUGUGUAGGAUAGGUGGGAGGCUUUGAAGUGUGGACGCCAGUCUGCAUGGAGCCGACCUUGAAAUACCACCCUUUAAUGUUUGAUGUUCUAACGUUGACCCGUGAUCCGGGUUGCGGACAGUGUCUGGUGGGUAGUUUGACUGGGGCGGUCUCCUCCUAAAGAGUAACGGAGGAGCACGAAGGUUGGCUAAUCCUGGUCGGACAUCAGGAGGUUAGUGCAAUGGCAUAAGCCAGCUUGACUGCGAGCGUGACGGCGCGAGCAGGUGCGAAAGCAGGUCAUAGUGAUCCGGUGGUUCUGAAUGGAAGGGCCAUCGCUCAACGGAUAAAAGGUACUCCGGGGAUAACAGGCUGAUACCGCCCAAGAGUUCAUAUCGACGGCGGUGUUUGGCACCUCGAUGUCGGCUCAUCACAUCCUGGGGCUGAAGUAGGUCCCAAGGGUAUGGCUGUUCGCCAUUUAAAGUGGUACGCGAGCUGGGUUUAGAACGUCGUGAGACAGUUCGGUCCCUAUCUGCCGUGGGCGCUGGAGAACUGAGGGGGGCUGCUCCUAGUACGAGAGGACCGGAGUGGACGCAUCACUGGUGUUCGGGUUGUCAUGCCAAUGGCACUGCCCGGUAGCUAAAUGCGGAAGAGAUAAGUGCUGAAAGCAUCUAAGCACGAAACUUGCCCCGAGAUGAGUUCUCCCUGACUCCUUGAGAGUCCUGAAGGAACGUUGAAGACGACGACGUUGAUAGGCCGGGUGUGUAAGCGCAGCGAUGCGUUGAGCUAACCGGUACUAAUGAACCGUGAGGCUUAACCUU